RNAcentral lists this transfer RNA (75 nucleotides) under Candidatus Woesebacteria bacterium RBG_13_46_13. RNAcentral's name for it is "tRNA-Pro". It matches the Rfam family "tRNA". Rfam says of the family: Transfer RNA (tRNA) molecules are approximately 80 nucleotides in length. Their secondary structure includes four short double-helical elements and three loops (D, anti-codon, and T loops). Lineage: Bacteria; Candidatus Woeseibacteriota. RNAcentral also lists the same sequence under 3 other names. The record is from RNAcentral.
CGGGGAGUAGCUCAGCUGGUUUAGAGUGCGCGCUUUGGGAGCGCGAGGUCGCCGGUUCGAAUCCGGCCUCCCCGA